AAUCCUGGCUCCAGGAUGAACGCUAGCGGCAGGCUUAAUACAUGCAAGUCGGACGGGAUUGAGGAGCUUGCUUCUCAUGAGAGUGGCGCACGGGUGCGUAACACGUAUGUAACCUACUUGUUCAGGGGGAUAGCCUCUCGAAAGAGAGAUUAAGACCGCAUAAAAUCACAUUGCAGCAUUGCAAAAUGAUCAAAUAUUUAUAGGAACAAGAUGGGCAUGCGGAACAUUAGCUAGUUGGUAAGGUAACGGCUUACCAAGGCUACGAUGUUUAGGGGAUCUGAGAGGAUGACCCCCCACACUGGUACUGAGACACGGACCAGACUCCUACGGGAGGCAGCAGUAAGGAAUUUUGGUCAAUGGGCGGAAGCCUGAACCAGCCAUGCCGCGUGCAGGAAGACGGCCCUACGGGUUGUAAACUGCUUUUAUACGGGAAUAAACCUGAUUACGUGUGAUCAGCUGAAUGUACUGUAAGAAUAAGGAUCGGCUAACUCCGUGCCAGCAGCCGCGGUAAUACGGAGGAUCCAAGCGUUAUCCGGAUUUAUUGGGUUUAAAGGGUGCGUAGGUGGCCUGUUAAGUCAGGGGUGAAAGACGGUAGCUCAACUAUCGCAGUGCCCUUGAUACUGAUGGGCUUGAAUGAACUAGAGGUAGGCGGAAUGUGACAAGUAGCGGUGAAAUGCAUAGAUAUGUCACAGAACACCAAUUGCGAAGGCAGCUUACUAUGGUUUUAUUGACACUGAGGCACGAAAGCGUGGGGAUCAAACAGGAUUAGAUACCCUGGUAGUCCACGCCCUAAACGAUGAAUACUCGAUGUUGGCGAUAUACGGUCAGCGUCUAAGCGAAAGCGUUAAGUAUUCCACCUGGGGAGUACGCCCGCAAGGGUGAAACUCAAAAGAAUUGACGG
This 901-nucleotide ribosomal RNA is filed under the name uncultured bacterium. Its description in RNAcentral is "bacterial SSU rRNA". It matches the Rfam family "Bacterial small subunit ribosomal RNA", at positions 15 to 916 of the family's 1533-position model. The record is from RNAcentral.